Molecule: transfer RNA, 77 nt
Filed under: Kouleothrix aurantiaca
Lineage: Bacteria; Bacillati; Chloroflexota; Chloroflexia; Chloroflexales; Roseiflexaceae
Also listed under: 7 other names
Description: tRNA-Pro
Rfam family: tRNA
About the family: Transfer RNA (tRNA) molecules are approximately 80 nucleotides in length. Their secondary structure includes four short double-helical elements and three loops (D, anti-codon, and T loops).
Source: RNAcentral
CGGGGCGUGGCUCAGCCUGGUAGAGCGCAGCGUUCGGGUCGCUGAGGUCGGUGGUUCGAAUCCACUCGCCCCGACCA